GGUAGGGAUGAGGGCAAGAUUUCAUGCACCGGUUGAAUUUUGUGUAGUGAUGGCUUUUUCUUGGGUUACGUCCUGCAUUUGCAGAGGAAUCAUCCAGGAGCAGCAGCCGGAGAAAUUGGCGGAAGUGGACCUGAGCCGCCUGGAAAUCCUUCUAAGCAGACAUGAACAGUCUUCAGCUUUCUGCCUCCCACGUAACUGCCUGGAAAAGAAGUCGCGUGUCAAUGUCUACAGCCUUCAUGUCAUGGAAAGCGAGCGAGAGCGAUGGGACCUCAAGAACUACUGAUGCCAAGGAAAAGCUGUCCUAAUGGGAGUGGAACAGUCGCCACUCUCAAUGAGAUAAGUGUCUGUUUUGGUGAUUGCUCUGCUCCCGGCCCACCUUGCUCCUGGUAGGGACGCUCCAUUUGCUGGGGCUGUGUUUGUAAGAAAGUGUUUUUGACUAGCUGUGUUUAUGAGGGAGACAAGGUCCCCAUUUUCAGAGGCUGCUCAGUUCUCUGGCCAGUAGCAGUGUCUCCUCUGCAUCAGAAGGUGAGAUCCAGGGGAUGACUCCAGGUGACGAGUUGCUUCCCUUCCUCCCAUGUUUCUCUUUCUGUCUGUCUCUUCUCUAGUAUGUUGGCCAACACUCUUUCUCUCUCUCUCUCUGUCUCUGUCCUUGCCUCUCCUUAUCCCUUCUCCCUUCAUAGCACACGGGCAGGCGUGCUAGGUGUGCAUCCCCACAGGCUAGGUCUUGGGAGCUAUGAACAAGUAGGAGGGGAUGAAAAUCAUGCUGGACAGUGGGUGUGAGAGUGGAGCGGUGACUCAGUGUUUACUCGGUCUGUAUUCACUGAGUGGAUUUUACGCACCAAUAGAGCUGUAUGUAGUGAUGUCUCAUGCUUGGCUUUUGCAGCUGCGCUUCUAGAGGAAUCAUGGAGGAGCAGCAGCCGAAGGAGAAGCUGGCAGAUGUGGACCUGAGCAGCUUGGACGUUGUUCUAAGCAGAGAUUAACAGUCCUCAGCUUUCUGCCUUGCACAUAACUGGCUGGCCUGAGGCAGCUGUCCUGAUUGGCCGGAGCUUCCUCGCGCCGGCUACGAAGAGGAACCACCGGAGCUUCCCUGGGCCCGGUACUGGGAGGAGCCGCCGGAAUUCCCCCACGCCCACUACGAAGAGGAGCUGUCGGAGCCUCCCCGUCCCUGCUGUUACCCGGAGGAGCCGCCCGAGCACGCCUGGCCGGACUUCCCUGAGGAGCUGCCGGACCUGCCACCAAGCCCUGGCCUUGAGGAGCCUAUGCUGAUUGACUGGCCUGGACCCGGUGCCCUGGACGAGCUGCGCUUGCAGAGGAAUUGUCCAGGAGCCCCAGCCCAAGGAGA
This is a long non-coding RNA of Mauremys reevesii (Reeves's turtle), 1342 nucleotides long. RefSeq lists it as uncharacterized. The transcript is spliced from 4 exons. Lineage: Eukaryota; Metazoa; Chordata; Testudines; Geoemydidae. The record is from RefSeq and is a predicted model, not a curated record.